AACGUAGGACGCAAGCGUUAUCCGGAGUUACUGGGCGUAAAGCGCGGGCAGGCGGCCAACCAAGUCUGAUGUGAAAUCUCUUCGCUCAACGGAGAGAGGCCAUUGGAAACUGGUCGGCUGGAGGGCAGUAGAGGUAGGCGGAAUUCCGGGUGGAGUGGUGAAAUGCGUAGAGAUCCGGAGGAACACCAGAGGCGAAGGCGGCCUACUGGGCUGCACCUGACGCUGAGCCGCGAAAGCUAGGGGAGCAAACGGG
Molecule: ribosomal RNA, 253 nt
Filed under: uncultured bacterium
Lineage: Bacteria
Description: partial 16S ribosomal RNA
Rfam family: Bacterial small subunit ribosomal RNA
Source: RNAcentral